This 1509-nucleotide long non-coding RNA is filed under the name Felis catus (domestic cat). Its description in RNAcentral is "lncRNA (ENSFCAG00000042463.2)". Lineage: Eukaryota; Metazoa; Chordata; Mammalia; Carnivora; Felidae. The record is from RNAcentral.
UUCAAACCAUCAGUGGAAUCAACUGGGAUCAGCAUAGAAUCACCGCGGAGAGACGCCUCUGCACCGACCAAGAGAGGACGGCACCUGAGGAGUGGAGCCCUCAUCCCGGCUGAGUUUCGUCCUCCGGCAAAACCCGGGCACUUUCUGAAACUUCCUGGUACGGAAGACACGCACUCGCGUCCACAGACACAGGAAGCCUGCGUUGGUCUACAUUUGCUUAAGGAAAAGGCAAACUUCGUUGACCACUGUCCUGAGCAAAGCCCCCCCUUCCCCACGAGCCCCAAGCGACCAGCGUUCCGAGGUCGCGCCUUGAACCCGCCCUGCAGGCCGGUGGAGUUAGGUCCCCUGCGCACGAUUCCUGCGAGGCGAGCUCCACACAGCGUUCGCGGCGCGCAACGUCUCCACUGCGCGCGGCCUCCUGCGGCUCGAGCCCGGGGCUCCCCCGCCCGGGCAGGGAAGGGGGCGCAGCGCGGCCAAACAGCUCAAAGUGCAAGGAAAACACGGACUUUGCUUACUCUCCCCACACCCCUGCGGGAGCCUGGGCCGUGGGCGGCGCGAGAGCACUGCCCCGGGAACGCAGCCUCCCGAGGCUCCCGGCUGGCCGAGCCGUUUCACGCGACUCCCCGAGCACUGCCACUCACACGAACCGCGUCCGGCUGGAUCCUCUUAGCUGCUCUGCAACGAUUCCGAUCCAGUUCAGCAGCGUUUAAAGCAUUAGGAAACUCGUUCAGGGCCACUGAAAAGUCAGGAGAGGCUCACAUCUCAUCUCCCACGGAUUCCUACCUCCAGGGUCAGAUAAUGCCCGGAAACGUUGCCACCAAACAAGUCUGAGAGUAUUAUUUUGGAGAAACCGUUAACCCCUACCAAAAUACAAAGCGCCAGAGGAAAGCAGGUGAGACUCGAAGACAAGGAAGCCCUUUGCGUUCGCUGGUGGAGGAAAGUGCGAUCUGCGGACGGGCUGGGGGGCCCCGGUCCUUCUACUUCAGCACCGGAGGGGAUGGACAGCGUCUCCGGACCGGGCUGCAGCCACAGGGACGGACCUGCGCUGCCCUUGCCGCCACUGUCGUCGCCACGGGCGUCUGGGCUCCCUGCUCCUCGCAGCUAAAAGGCGGUGCCUCCUGAUACCCCCUGGUCCCCCCCCCCCCCACUUUCCUUGAUAGACGAAAAGUAACCUUUCUCAUCCACCUGCUAAACUACAAUCCAGGGCUCUGAGGAGUCCUCUGGUUCUGCAGAUUAAACUCCCAGCAACAACUUCAAGAAUAAUUCUCCGUAGGGGGCUGGGAGGAAUGCACCCAGAAGAGUGAGGCUGAAGUUCUUAGAGGCUCUGAAAAAUCAUGGGCUCCGCAGAAGGGGUCGGAAUGCUCAAAGGCCCACACUUCAUGAUAUAAACAGAAUGCUCACCAGAGGGUUGCAACUGUUUUGGAAACAGCUUUGUGAGAGGAGGUUCCAGAUCUAGUCACAUCCCUACGUUAGAGAAACUGAAAGACUUCUAAUUCCUUUACUUGGAUG